CUGCAUGUGCAGGUACGUGCUGUGCCACCCUGCAUGCCCACCUGCCAGAGUGAUUUGUGUCUGGAGCACGGGGCACAGUGGGUGAGCAUCAAGUAGAACUAAUUGCCAGUAAUUGAAAGUUUUUUCCUUUUUUUCUCCUGUUUGUUUUCGUAAUUUCUCCUUUUUAUCCUCCUCCAGGUUUGGCUGUUGGAGGAUGCGUUUUGUGUGGUCCAGGGUAAGAAGAGAAAGCAAACAGGAGAGUCUGUAUUGUGUUUGUGUGUCCUCAACAAAUACUAGUGGUUUUGUAGGGGUAAAAAAAAGAGAAGAAGAGCUGCAAAGCUUUGCAGAUGAAGAGGGCCAUGAUGGGUAAUUGGGUUGUUCCAGUGAGGGCAACAACAGCAGGGGAGCAGCAGUUGGUGGGGAUGGUCUGGAGUGUGUCUGCAAAGCUGUGGAGCAGAGGAGAAAGUGUGUCUUGGAGUUGGGUGUCUCCUUGAGAGUGACCAGCACACCAGCAAGAGGAUUGUAACCCCAAUUUUUUCUCUCCAUUUUUUUAACAGGAGAUCUCCAAGCAUUUUCAAAGGAAGCUAGCACCACAGAUUGGAAAACUUUACAUUUUGAGGCUUCAGUGAUUGGUUUAGAGCCAGCCAGAGGAACCUGUGAGUGCUGAGCCCUCACGCUCUCCUCCAAACCAUCUCCAGACCUUGGCCUCUCUCCCAGGCCCCUGUGCCGACCAGACUGAUGUUGGGGAGCUCACUGGAGGCCAGUCUUGUCCCAUAGGGUGGAGGCAGGACAUGUUUCCACCUGUGGCCACUGCCAUCAGCUGGACUGGCUCUGGGAGGGAGGAUGCUGGCACAACAAGUGACCCUUCAAAAUGGGGUUGGAUUUAUAGGGGUGCACUCUAGUCCCAGUCUGUGAGGCCCCUGUUCCUGCCCUGACCUCUCUCUCAGCAUUUUGGGAGGAGUUCACUUACAAUUUCAAAACAUGUGGUGCUUUUUCUUCUUUUUGCCCAGCACCACUCAGUGUCGAGUUGAAGGGAAAUACAAUACAUCACCUUCCUUGUGGGCUGCCAUUCAGCCAAGAGUAACAGAGAUUAGCCUUCAAUCACAGGGGGGCCAGAGCUGAAGGAAACCUUCCCGAGGACACGCUGGAGAAACAUUUUCAUUAGUGGAGGAGAAGCUGACGGAGAUGGAGUGGCCCUUCACCUCAGCUGCCAGACCUCUCGCCUGCCUGGCGUUAACAGGACAGGGAGAUGCUAAUGGAGGAGCUGGUGCCAGCUGCAAGUCUUUAAGUGCUGUCUGCAUCCAGAUACCGUUCUCUCUAGGGGGCUGCCUGUGGUGCUGCAAUAACAUCACGUCUCUGUGGUGAAGAAACAAUGAGGAUAUAACAGAGGCCAAAAUGAAAUCCUCCCUGGAGUUGCCAAGAAUGAUGGAUAACUGCAAGAAAAUAUUAUUCUAUGGCUCUGAAAAAGGAAGAUCUACUUUCUUAGUAACCUGAUAAUGAGGUAGUGGCUCUGCUCGGUGCAGAGGCUGGAAGCCAGGGGAGAUUUGGGGUUACAAAGAGGGCUGGGCAGAGUUUGCUGCCCUCUCAGCUCCUUUCCUGUGUCACUGUCAACUUAGAUUUCACAUCAAGAGGGUGAUGUUAUGCCUGGCGGUGACAACAGCAGAAUGUCACUGGCAGAGGUGAAAUCUUUCCCUCCGUGAGGGUAAUUCUUCCUUUCCCUUCCCCUUGGCUUAUGUCAAGAACCUCUGGCUCCCGGUGCCGAGUGGGCCAUGCACACAUGCUGCUCAGGGGGCAACACAUUCUGUGCUGAGCUUCACUUUUCCUGCUGUCUUGGUAAGCAGCUCUGGGUCACCGAUGCCUCUUGGCUGCGUGGUGACCCAGGACAAAGGGAAACCCCUUGUCACUGUCUGAGAGAAAUUGGGGCCGUUGGAAGCUGCCGUGUUUGCCACCAUGGCAGCACUGCUCAGAGUGCUCCUCUGCCAUGCUGGCACACUUAUAUCAUCGUCAGCUUUGCCAGGGAUGUCCCUUCAGGGACCAUUUGUGUUCUUCAGGGGCCAGGUCUGAGCUAGGUCAGGGUCUGAGGGGCAGACUUACGUAUGUUAAAGGGUAAUGUCCCCCACAGGCUGUCUCUCACCUCCUCUGAACAGCAGCUGAUCUUGCAGCAGUGUGCCUGUGCCCACCUGCUCCAGCAGCCCCUCUGCCAGCUUCUGUCCCCCAGGGUCAGUUCAGCAAAGCUUAGUGUUGUUCUGGGUCCAGCUUCCAUUUUCUAGCUGGUUAUGGAGGAGAGGAUGAAGGUUGUUGCUGCUGCUGCUGCCAGGCCACACUAGAAAACAGGCAGGGGACCAGCCUCUUACUGCACUUAAAGAUCCAAGAGUUUAAUCUGACUCUGGUUCUCUCUUAGCCCUGAACCUGUUGUGUCUUUUCCAGCUGGUGCCCGAGCCUUUCUUUGUUAUUUUUAUUUUUUUUUCCCUUUUCUCCUCACCUUAUGAAAAAUGGCUUUCCCAUCUGCAUCUGUCAGGAGUGUGCCGAGCCGGGGGUACGGCUCAGUGAAUAUACAAAUGCGCGGUUGGACCGUGGCCUCCCUGACAGGCUGGAGAUGAAUUCCAAAUGUGCAGGGAGAAGAGCUCCUGCUGCCUCUGAUGGUUGUUUUUCUUAUCCCGAGGAGGUGUGAGAAUCGCCUUUGGGAGCAGCGUUUCCUUCUGCUCCUGUUCUGCCUUUACCAAGGAUCAGUUCUCUGCCAUCCAUCAUCGGACGAGCCCUCUCCUCGCUCCCACGUCUCAGCUGCUGAUGGGAGUGCUGGAGAAGGGGGAAACUGUUUUAUCCUGCUUUUUACUACCAUCCUUUUUCCUGUCCCUUUUGCAUCCCAACCUCCUAGGCCUCUAUUACAAGGCAAUUGGCAGGCUGGGGCUGGAGAACACUUGCCUUUUCUUGCUGAUCCAGGUAGAGGGGAGGGGAUGGUUUCAUAUAAUCAUUGCAUAUCCUGAGUUGGAAGGGACCCACGAGGAUCAUUAAGUCCAACUCUUAGACCUGCACAGGACACCCCAGCAAUUCCACCCUGUCCCUGAGAGUGUUGUCCAAACACUUUUUGAACUCUGUCAGGCUUGGAGCUGUGACCACUGCUCUGGGGGGCCUGUUCAGUGCACAACCACCCUCUGAGUGAGGAACCUUUUCCUAAUAUCCAGCCUAAACCUCCCCUGACAGAGCUUCAUGCUGUUCCCUUGAGACCUAUCACUGGUCACCGUUUGACCUUACCCAGGGGGCUUAAAAUGUAAUUUUGAUUGGAGUUUUCCAGAGGUGUUGUGUGUGACUCCAUGUGAGAUGCACUGAAAGCACCCAACUGCUCCUGGAUGUCUCAGCCUCGCUGUGUCCCCUUCCCCUGCUGCAGGUGACCAGAGCUCUGGGGCUCUGCAAGGAGGAAUUCACCAUCUCUGAGUUGUGGAACCCUGCAGGGUCGCUCAGGUACCCAAAGAGAGAUGACAGCCUGCCCUGACAGCCAUGAAUUUGCUGAGCUCUUCUCCUGCCUCUUGGCUUUCUGCAGUGAGGUACACGAGCUGCUUCCCUGGCCUUGAUGUGCAGAGAAGCUUUCAGCCAGGUGGGCUCAGAGGAGCAGGCAGGCAGAAAAUGAAAUGAGUGUCUCCAUGCUCUUGCCACAGCUAUCUGGUCAAGUAGGGGAACCUUCUGGGUGGGCAGACCCCCUCUUUGGCAGGAGGAGAGAGCAGGCAGCUUGAGCUGAGCUGUUUUUUUGACAAGCAGAUGGAUGUUCAGUGGGGACCCAAGAAAACCCUCUCGCUCCAGGCUAUCUGUGAGCCCUCCAAACCAGAGCGUUGUGCUGACACAAAGCAUCGCUCCGUUGGUGCUCAGCUUGAAUUGCCUCUUCCAGGCGCCUGAUUCGGGACACACCGACCGUCCCCUCCUGCCACCAGCUCCCGGGAGGAGCCAGCUGCCUGCCUGCAACCGGGCGAGGAUGGAGCCGGAGCCGUGGAGCAGCGAGGAGGGAGGGAGGCGAGCGACGGCAGAUUCCUCCGGCAUCUCCACACCGCGGGGCUCUUGGCGAGCGAGUGCUCGUCUGCUUUGAAAGCUCUUAGUGCUCCUGCAGGUGGGAGCCAAUUUGUCUGCUUUCCUGCCCAGGUGCCAUCUGUUUGUAGGAUUGCCUGUGCGGUGGAUGAGCACGACGGGGAUGGCGAAGGGAAAGGGCUGCUGGGCUGGGAAAGAUGAGCCUAAAACUUUCCUUGAGUAUCUUCAGCGCUUCUGGCUGCCGUUGUUCUCUCUCCCCAGCAUCGCAGCGGGGAAAUCGGAGCCUGUCAUUUGCUGUUCCCGGAGCGUGGAGGGGAGCUGAGGCACUGCUAAUAGCAAACUAUCAUUCUAAUGCUAAUUUCCUACCAUUAGCUCAGGCUGGGGGAGGCUCAGCCUGGGUGGAGGGAAGCCAUUAGCAGAUGGAGAAAGAGGGAGAUGUGUUCGGAUUUGUUCUGCACCCCCAGAAGGGAUUUUCAGAGGCCAGAUGAUUAACCACCACUGGGCAAAUUGGUAACACGAGCUAGGUUCAGUCUCUGGUGGACGUGGCAGGAAGGGAGAGGAUGCUUUGUUCCAAGUUGUCCUUCCUUUAGGGAUUUCCUGAGUGCUUCAGGCUUUGGCUUGAGUUUGGUGUUAGCUGCUUGUUGCCAGCCCUCGUGUGUUGUGACCCAAGGGAUGCUCAGAGCGCUGGCAGGGCUGCAGCUGGUGGCACCAAUGUCCUUUCAGCAAAGGAGCCAAGCAGGGUUGGGUUUAGCUGCUGUCUUUUUGGGAGGAGCUUCCCAGUUCAGGAGCCUGGACAUCCCUGUUUGGUGGCAGGCUUCAAAGCAGGGAAGUUUGGAAUCCACCUUUGAGAUACCCGAGAGCUAAAAAAAAAACCUGUCCUUUUGCCAUGGGAACAAACCCAGCUGCCCCAAGCUGGAGAUCUGUCAGGAGAAACCAGGGGCUGAGUUUGGAGUUGUGAAGGGAAAUGAACUAUUUCCCCGCCCUUUCCAGAGGUGAGCAUUCCUACAUCCAUCCUCUUCAUCAGUCUCCUCUAGACAAGAGGAAGAGCCUGUGCUGCUCCCUGGACUGGUGUAGGUGCCUGAGAGCUUCUGGGUUGUGUGAGGAAGGCGAUUGGCUACAGUAGGACUGUAGGGACUGUUUGGGCAACAGUCAGAGAGGUUUCUCUGCCAUUUCUAGACCAGCUUGGAAACCUUGGGACUAAAGGCAUGCAAGCUGUGCCUGGCUGGGAAGAAACUGGUUGCCUGCUACUGAGGGGCAGCGUUGUUUGAAGGCAAGGGCCCAGUAGUGUCCUGAUCUGUGGUGUGACACACCUCCUGAAGACCCAGCAGCCUGUCUGUGGUGAUCUAGACCACUGGCUUCAUCAUUUCAUAGGGAAGCAUACAAGGAUUUUUUUUUUAAACCCACUUAAAGACCAUUUUAAAACUCUUCUGUCAUCUAGCAGAGACUCAGUGGAAGGACAAAAGCAGCCACAAUAAACCAGGAACUGGUUAAAUAUUAAAGGGCAGGUAAGGCAAGAAGGGACUCUCCUGCCAGGAGGA
Molecule: long non-coding RNA, 5531 nt
Organism: Neopelma chrysocephalum (saffron-crested tyrant-manakin)
Lineage: Eukaryota; Metazoa; Chordata; Aves; Passeriformes; Pipridae
Exons: 3
Source: RefSeq, a predicted model, not a curated record